CAUAGGUUUGGUCCUGGCCUUUUUAUUAAUUUUUAGUAGACUUACACAUGCAAGCAUCCCCGCUCCAGUGAAAAUGCCCUCUAUCUCCAUAAGGAUCAAAAGGUGCCGGUAUUAAGUACGCUCUUCCGAGCAGCUCAUGAUACCUUGUUACACCACACCCCCACGGGACACAGCAGUGACUAAAAUUGAGAUAUAAACGAAAGUUUGACUGAGUCAUACUAAUAUUAGGGUUGGUAAAUUUCGUGCCAGCCACCGCGGUCAUACGAUUAACCCUAAUUAAUAAAACACGGCGUAAAGCGUGAUUAAGGUAGAGUCCUAAAUAAGAUUAAGCUCUAACUAAGCUGUAAAAAGCCCUAGUUAAAAUAAAAAUAUGAAACGAAAGUAAUCUUAUAAACCCUGAAUUCACGAUAGCUAAGGCCCAAACUGGGAUUAGAUACCCCACUAUGCUUAGCCCUAAACAUAAAUAAUCCAAUAACAAGAAUAUUCGCCAGAGAACUACUAGCUACUGCUUAAAACUCAAAGGACUUGGCGGUGCUUUAUAUCCCUCUAGAGGAGCCUGUUCUAUAAUCGAUAAACCCCGUUAAACCUCACCACUCUUUGCAUUGUCAGCCUAUAUACCGCCAUCUUCAGCAAACCCUAACAAGGCACUAUAGUAAGCACAAUUAUUGUACAUAAAAACGUUAGGUCAAGGUGUAGCCUAUAGAGUGGAAAGAAAUGGGCUACAUUUUCUAAUUUCCUAGAACACCUCACGGUAGCUAUCAUGAAACAUGCUAGCCCAAGGCGGAUUUAGUAGUAAGUUAGGAAUAGAGUGCCUAGCUGAAUCGGGCAAUAAAGCACGCACACACCGCCCGUCACCCUCUUCAAGCACCCAAGAUUACUAGACAUAACUAAUAAAUUAUGAUCCCAAAUGCAAGAAGAGACAAGUCGUAACAAGGUAAACAUACUGGAAAGUGUGUUUGGAAUAU
RNAcentral lists this non-coding RNA (965 nucleotides) under Sciurus aberti (tassel-eared squirrel). RNAcentral describes it as "Hesperosciurus aberti (tassel-eared squirrel) 12S ribosomal RNA". It matches the Rfam family "Bacterial small subunit ribosomal RNA". Lineage: Eukaryota; Metazoa; Chordata; Mammalia; Rodentia; Sciuridae. The record is from RNAcentral.